GGGCACCACGUGAAGGACACCCAUAACAGACCAAGACCUCCCCAUCACAAACUGACAAAGAAAGCAUAAUCCCAAAAGCAAAGCGAUAAAGAAACAGAGCAAUGCAUAAUAGAAUUCCAAAGGCUGCGGCCGGACGUGGCAACAGUGCGGGCGAGCUGCGCAUGCGCCUGGACCGCGACCCGAGACUCUCCCUCUGGCUCCUCCGAGGUCUUAUUUUCCCCUGCCGAGUGAUGCAAAGCCAAUGCAUCACCUUUGAUAUCCGACGGAGCUUCUUCUGUGUCAAGGCAGUUCAUUGAAACAUGAAAUUUAAAUACUGUGGGGAUAACAACGCACAGCUGUCCAGUGGGCGAGGCUACACACUUAUGGAGCUACUGAAAGGCUCUGGCGAGUUCUGCAAGGCACAAUAUCACAUCAAAUAAGCAAAA
Long non-coding RNA from Penaeus chinensis, 425 nucleotides. RefSeq lists it as uncharacterized. NCBI's taxonomy places the organism in Eukaryota, Metazoa, Arthropoda, Malacostraca, Decapoda, Penaeidae. The record is from RefSeq and is a predicted model, not a curated record. The transcript is spliced from 3 exons.